GUUGUGGCUCAGCAGUAGAGCGCUUGCCUAGCACAUGUGAGGCCCUGGGUUCGAUCCUCAGCACCACA
RNAcentral lists this transfer RNA (68 nucleotides) under Marmota monax (woodchuck). RNAcentral describes it as "tRNA.Ala". The record is from RNAcentral. Lineage: Eukaryota; Metazoa; Chordata; Mammalia; Rodentia; Sciuridae.